CGCACAUCCUUAACUAGGGCCUGUCAGGACUAACCCAUUUCGUCAUGUAUUCCUACUUAGGUCUUCACCAAAAGCCCAAGCCUCAUCCUUUAUCUCAUAACCCAAGUGCUUUGUACAUCCUCUAAUCUGAUCCAGUUCCUCUCCCUUCUCCUUCCACCUAAACCCAGAUUUUCACAUGGCUGCUUCCCUCUCAUUGUUCAGGUCUCACAUCAAAUAGCAUCUUCUCAAAGGCCUGUGCUCACUCUGCCAUCUAAGUAGGUUUUAUGUUACGCUCUAGUAUAGCACUAGUUACUUCAUUCACACCACUGUCACAAGUUGUAACUAUAAUUCAGUUUUUGGUUUACUUGUGUAGUACUCUUUGUUUACUUGUUUAUUAUCUAUCUUUCCAAAUUAGACAAUAAGGUCCAUAAAGUCAGCCAUAAUAUUCACGUUGCUUACCACUCUUACCCAAUGCCCAAGUCAGGCUCUAGCAUGGGCAUGUGCUCAGUUAAUCUAUGUUAGAUGAAGAAAACCUACUAAAGAAAUAAAUAGCUAACCAAAAAUUUAUGUAAGCAGAAACAUGGACUUUGUUCCAUUUCCAUGCUGCCACCUUCAAGCAGGUGAACACCAUCUCUUAAUUGAUUGGUUGAAACAACUUUUAACUGGUUGCCCAGCUUCUCCUGCUUCACCACUUCCUUCCCCUCUGAAUCUGCUCUCCACGUAGUAACAAAACUGAUUUAUAAAAAGUAAAUUUGAAAAAAAAUACGUAAUUUGAGACGUCUGCUUCCAAGAAAGAAAAAGUAGAUCUGCUUUAAGUACAACCAAAAACCCUGGACACUAUGCAUAAACAAACAUAGGAAGACUGAAAAGUGGAGAGAAGGCAAAACAAGCCAGGGACGUGGAGACCCAAGGAAUGACAGGGUGGUAAGGUUCCUGGGUUUCUUUUUGCCUCAUAUAUCCCAGAUUUGGAGUUGAAGAAGCUGGCAACCCAGAAACGCCAACUGACAGAAGCAAAAAGAGCCCAAACUAAACCCAUAUAGCCUUGGGGGUUUGAGAGGGAGAAGUACAGUUGGAAAUCAGAAAGGAAGGAGGAGCCAGAGAGGGAGAGUUUGUUAGUGAGGAGGAACAGCAUGCCCUGCAUUUUCCCUUUCUCUCCUUUACAGUCCAACUCACCUGCUCCUCUUCCUCCGGACUACGAGCUUUAGUAGUCUACACUCCAUGCCAAUUCUGACAGCAUCACCACCUGUCCCAACUCCACCACCAUCAGACAGGCACUGACGUCAGAAGAAAUCUGGAGUUUAACCCCAGCAUCUGCCAGAGGCUGUGCCAGUCAGUGGAGAGGAAGAAAAGACGUCGUCUCUGCCUUACAGCAGACGUACAGGAAUAACCACAUCCAGUGGGAGCAAGGCCAAAGCAGAAGCCUGCAGAGCGGACUGUGAGGACGAGCUGGAGGGGGAUGCAGACAAGCUUUUGGAGAGGCGGUCACCUAGAGCUGAGCCUUGGAAGGGGGAUGAGAGAAGCAGCAGAUUCCAGGCAAAAGCAACAACCAAUACUAGCAACAGGAAAAAACAGCUCAGUAUGGAAAAUAAUUGACAUGGCUAGACUUUGCGAUUCAUUCCAUGUGAUGGCUACUCAAUAAACUGCUGGUUAAUUGAUUACCUAGCUAAUCAAUCUGGAGGAAACAGGCUAUAAAAACAGACAAAAGUCAGUUCACGAAGGGGUUCAUAGGCCUACUCAAAGAAUUUAGAUUUUAUUCUCUAAACUAGGAGUUGAAAAUGCAAAUAUCUAUAGGGAUCUUAUAAGAAAUGUGAAUAAGUAAGGUGGGCCAGGUGUAAAAGAAAUAGUAAUUAUGAGGGUUAUACACGAAGUACCUCCUCCAGGUACCAUGUAUGGUACUGUCAACACAUAGAUGUCUAAUAUAUGAUCCUGGCCCUUAGACUGCACACAUAAGUAAGUACUCACAAUAUAACGUGAUGAUUGCCCCCAUUCAUGUACCAAAUACAGUGGGACCAUAGAGGAGGGCCUUACUUAAUUCAAUCUCAGGAAAUCAGGAAGGUGUUACUGAUGAAAUUAUAUUUGAGAUGGACUUGAGGGAUGAGAAGGAGCUCAUCUCUCUUUUCCAGCUACCCCUGAACUUCCUUCAAUCCAAUCAGGUUGGUUUCCCCACUGUCCCACAACACCCCACUCUCGGCUAUGUCCUCUCAAGUCUUUGACUUUGCCUAGUGUGCCCUGCCGCUCUCCCUUAAUUAUGCAAUUCCUACUAACUCUUAAAGGCACAAUGCAGGCCUUCCUCAUGCACAAAAUCCAUGAAGACUUCCCAGGUAUCAAAUCUUCAUUGGUCUAAGAGGCAAGACGCUAUUGGGAGGCUGGAAGACCUUUAGGACACAACAGAGUGCAGAGGCGCUCAGAGAAGGGUGUCUCAUUGUGUGUGGUGAGAAGCUUACUAGUUUGGGAGUCAAGGACUCACUGGCUCUCUGAUUACAGGCAGAUGUUUUAGCCUCUGUUUUCCUCAGUGUCUUAACUCUAAAGUGGAGGCUGAUCCUCAUGAUCAUUUUGGUCCCCUUCAGUUCUAAGAUUAUAACUGUGAUUUUGUGAAGGAAUUUGUUCUCAUUGUUAUACUUCCAGUAGGAUUUCCACACACACUUUCAAAAUUGUCCUUAUGUAACAUGACGAGUGGAAAACCACUAAUCAGUGGCAGCAGUAUUGAAGAGAGUCUUCUCUGUGCCGUUCCAAAUGCCAUCUACUUCCUCCCUGGAUUUAGGAAUUGCAUAGUCACACGUUCACUGAAAUAAAGUUGGCUGUCCUGUUGCCCUGUUACUACUUUGGUCACCUCCUGUUAUCCUAAGAAUAGAUCACUUAUGGUUCUUUCUUUGGACUCUUACAAUUUCACGGCGGUGAGAAAAUAGAGCACAGGUGGAAUACAAAUCCUGGAAUAUCAAGAUUACAGAAAAACUACCUAUGGAAAACAAGAUACAUGAGUUAAGGAAUCUAUGAAACUAUACCAAAAUAAUAAUUAGAAUGAGUUGUUUUUUAUUUUAUCUUAGUUAUUAUAAAUUAUUGAGAAAAAUCAUUUGCAUUUUAUCAGCUUUUAUUAUACAAAUUCAGUCUGCCUCAUGCCAACUCGCUGUAUUAGUUGUACUUUUGGUUAUAAGCAAAAGAACCAACUCUGGCCAGAUUUAAGAAAACGGCAAGUCUAUUGAAAGAACACUAGGGUAUCGCAUGAACCACAAGGAAAAG
Long non-coding RNA from Equus caballus (horse), 3216 nucleotides. The record is from Ensembl. Lineage: Eukaryota; Metazoa; Chordata; Mammalia; Perissodactyla; Equidae.